Molecule: ribosomal RNA, 600 nt
Filed under: uncultured bacterium
Lineage: Bacteria
Description: bacterial SSU rRNA
Rfam family: Bacterial small subunit ribosomal RNA
Source: RNAcentral
GGAAGGGAUGGGAAGCGGCGGACGGCUGAGUAACACGUGGGUACUUCCCCCAAAAUAACGGAUAGCUCCUCGAAAGAGGGGGUAAUACAUUAUAGUCUCUGGAUUUAUUUCUGGAGUAAAGCGACUAACCUCGCGUUUUGGGAUAGACCUGCGGCCUAUCAGGUAGUUGGUGAGGUAACUGCUCACCAAGCCAAUGACGGGUAGCUGGCCUCAUGAGGGUGGUCAGCCAGAGGGGGACUGAGACACGGCCCCCACUCCUACGGGAGGCAGCAAUCAGGAAUAGUCGGCAAUGGGCGAAAGCCUGACCGCGCGACACCGCGUGUAGGAAUAAGUACGAAAGUAUGUAAACUACUGUGGUAGGGGAAAAAGUCCCGCUUUUGGCGGGAUUGACGGUACCCUACUAGAAAGGAGCCGCUAACUGCGUGCCAGAAGCGUCGGUAAUACGUGGGCUCCAAGCGUUAUCCGGUUUAAUUGGGCAUAAAGGGUCGUGUAGGCGGGUAUGUAAGUUAUCUUUCAAAUACCAAUGCUCAACAUUGGAACUGGAGAUAAGACUAUAUAUCUAGAGUUUUCUUUAGGGUAAGCGGAACUGAGGGAGGAGUA